AAUUAUGGAAAAGCAUCAGUUUUUUUUCAUUAUAGUGUCGGUUCUAGCUAGGUAGUGUAGCUUAAAAUUUGUCUUGUUAUAAUUUUGUCCAGACUCAAUAGGCAACCUCCUCUCCUCAGUAUCUCACAUAUUAAGCUCUCUCUUCUCUCUAUAUCGACGAACGCACUCACUUCACCUUAAGCCACCACCUUCUCUGACUCCUCAGGUACAAAGGCAAAAGCCUUCUCCCCGUUUUUUAGCUCAAAGUUGUUUGCUUAACUUUAAAACACGUACACAUUUAUCUUUUUUGUUUCAAGGUUUUACUUUCACAAACGGCAGCCACCACCAUCUCCGAUUCCGUCUUCGACUCCUCAGGCGCACCUGCGGCCACCUUCUUCGACUUCCCAGCCAUAAAAUCUGUUACAGAUUUCCAAGUGUACAAGGAGGUUGUUGGGUUGAAUUCGGUUGCACAGAUAACGCUGCAGUAUACCAUACAAAGGUUUCAUUUCUUUCCUUUUGCCCCUUUUUUGGGAUAUUGGUUACAAAAUCUGUUUUGAGCAUGGGUGUGAAAUUUACAGUAGGGGUUAGUAAGUUAAUUUCAUUCUCAAUGUACACAAAUGUUGUUCUUGCAUUAAUUCAUUUUCUUUUUAUUGAAAUUGAAUAAAACUAAUUCUCCUUGA
Pyrus x bretschneideri (Chinese white pear) is the source of this 659-nucleotide long non-coding RNA. RefSeq lists it as uncharacterized. The transcript is spliced from 3 exons. Lineage: Eukaryota; Viridiplantae; Streptophyta; Magnoliopsida; Rosales; Rosaceae. The record is from RefSeq and is a predicted model, not a curated record.